Penaeus vannamei (Pacific white shrimp) is the source of this 954-nucleotide non-coding RNA. Lineage: Eukaryota; Metazoa; Arthropoda; Malacostraca; Decapoda; Penaeidae. The record is from RefSeq and is a predicted model, not a curated record.
CAUUCUUCUAAUUCGUCCGCCUUUCGCCGCAGGAGGUCGACGAGGAGGCGGAGGUGGGCGACGACGCGGAGGAGAGCGUCGCCGCCGCCAGCAAGUCUGAGCACGAUCUUCGGCUGCAGUUCGAGCGCUUUCUCGAGAGGAUGGACCGCAGGAAGCCCAACUCGCCCAAGGCGCUGCAGGACGCCCUCGACGCCCGCGCGAGGGAGGUCCCCGCCAGGAGUGUGGCAGACGACGACUUUCCAGCUAACUACACACGGAAGUCGCGUCCGUCGAUAUGAAACCUCCUGAAGCCUCUAACUUCUACUGUAUAUGCUGUACAUCUGCUUUUUCCUACUGACUAGGCCUACCUGUUAUUAGGCCUUCCAUAUUGAGCGAGGCCAGGAAAAUAAUCCACGUGUAAAUAUGUCACAGAAAAAAUGAAUGAGACUUUUGUGUACAAAGCGUUCAAAUCCAUUAUAUAAGUAACUGCUGAUCUGCUAUUCAGAGAGCCGCUAUAUCAAAGUCCGUCAAAAUUUCUUUGGUUUAGAAAUAUUAGUUGCGCCAAUCGGAAAGGAGAAAGGAGUGUUCGUCCCAUUCCCGUCCAAUCAGAACUCGAUAUAUGAUACUUCAAACCCCGCCUCUUUUUUCGCAAAUGGCCAAUCGGAACUCGAUAUAACACAUUAAACCCCGCCUUUUUUUCUAGCAAAUGGCCAAUCAAAACUAACUUUGUAUAUACAGUUGCAUCUCAUUUGCUGCCAGUUUAGCGCACAUAUUGUUCUCUCUUUUUCUUAAGAUUACUUAACCAACAUAAGCGGGGAGAGACCUAAUAAUCAUAUAAUCAUUUUUGUAUCUGUAAGUGAUUACCAUGUUGAUAUAUCUGUUGAAUUCGCCUUCCUCGACCUUGUAUGUAACGCGUUAAGCUAAGAAUUUUGCCAGGAUGUGAACGAAGAAAUAAAUCUGAACCUUCUCCUUGAA